GACGAACGCUGGCGGCGUGCUUAACACAUGCAAGUCGAACGGGCCUUGUCCCCUUUUUUUUUGGGGGUGGGGUUAGUGGCGAACGGGUGAGUAACACGUGAGUAACCUGCCCCUCACUUCUGGAUAACCGCUUGAAAGGGUGGCUAAUACGGGGUGUUCUGGCCUUCUCGCAUGGGUGGGUUUGGAAAGAUUCGACCGGUUUUGGUUGUUUUGGUGGGGGAUGGGCUCGCGGCCUAUCAGCUUGUUGGUGGGGUGAUGGCCUGCCAAGGCUUUGACGGGUAGCCGGCCUGAGAGGGUGGGCGGUCACACUGGGACUGAGACACGGCCCAGACUCCUACGGGAGGCAGCAGUGGGGAAUAUUGCACAAUGGGCGCAAGCCUGAUGCAGCGACGCCGCGUGAGGGAUGGAGGCCUUCGGGUUGUGAACCUCUUUCGCCAGUGAAGAAGGUCCUGCUCUUUGUGGUGGGGUUGACGGUAGCUGGGUUAAUGAAGCGCCGGCUAACUACGUG
RNAcentral lists this ribosomal RNA (508 nucleotides) under uncultured bacterium. Its description in RNAcentral is "partial 16S ribosomal RNA". It matches the Rfam family "Bacterial small subunit ribosomal RNA", at positions 28 to 507 of the family's 1533-position model. The record is from RNAcentral.